UUGCGAGGAUGGUGGGGAAGAGGAUUACGGGUUAAUGACUAACCGAGUUUAACGUCGUUAGUCAUUAAAAGUAAUGGAAAUAUUUUUGCAAAAGUAAGGGGUAUAUGGUGAAUUUCAAAAGUCGAAAAGGUAUAUGAUGCAAAAAUAAUUUGUCAGGGGUAUAUUGUGAAAAAAACGUAGGAAUUAAAAUGUUACCUUAUUGGAAUAUAUUAUGUUAAUAAGGAAUUUAGUUAAGUUAGAUUAGUAGUUCAGUUUGGAAUCCUAUCUGCAAAGUUGUUAGUAUUCUAGUUCAGUAUGGUUUCCUAAUAUUAGGUUGUAUAUAUAUUCUCUAUCGUUUGAUGUGUUCAGUCGAUGAGUUUUCCUAUCUUCAAAAUCUUAACAUGGUAUCACAACCACUCUAAUCCUAAUUGAUUUGAUCGACUGUUUGCUGUUCUUGCUCGAUCUUUGUUGUUUCUUGCUUGUGCUAUGUGGGGUUCGUCUCUUAUUCUUCCGCUGCUGUUGGUAAUUGGUAUGGUAUUCUUGGUGUGUCUUCGCCAUCUUCUUGUAUCGUUGACUUAAAUUUAUUAAAGUGUUAUUUUUUCUCGUCAAAUUCUUGUAUCCUUUUUCCAGUUUCUUCUUUGUUUUGUCUGCUUGUUGUUUUCGCCAUCUCUAUCUGUUCUCCUUGCUUUUGGUUGGUGCAGUUUGUACGAGUGUGAGUGCGGAUCAGUAACUAUUGCUGUUGUUGGGUGUUCUACGUCUUCUGCUUUGUGCGAGUUGUGUGUGCAGAUUUCUUGUCUGCUUUGUGUUGCGUGUGCAGCCUCGUCGAUUUUUUCCCUCUUUCUUGAGUAUGCUUUGUCGUGUUUUUGGCUUCUUUGGUUGGUUUGCUUUGUGUGAGUGUGAGUUGUCUUCGCUGGGUUGUUCCUGCACUUUGGCGGUUUGAUGAUUCAUCUUGAGACACUUUCUCCAAUAUUCAGCAACAAUAUUCAGCCACGUUUUCAGUAGCUUCUUCCUUUGUGCGGGUUUAACAUGGUAAAUGAUGCGGUAAGUGAUGGUGAUUGGGCUAGUCUCCCGACGCUGACUGAUGAUCAGUGGAACCAAUUGAUUGCUGCUUUGAAGUCUUCAAAGGUGUCUGCGACUUCAAAAUGUUAUUCAGGUGUGCUCUGUUCUAGUGAUUGGAUCAAUGAUGGUGGUGCAUCAAAUUAUAUGUCUGGUCAUUUGGAGUUGCUCUCUGAUUUGUGUCUAUCUCAUCUCUUAUUGGUUUGCCUAAUGGUAAACAAGCUACUACAACUAUGGAACGGAAAGUUGUGUUGUCGGAUGGUUUUGUGUUGGAUCAUGUUCUCUAUGUUCCUACUCUUACUUGUAGUUUAUUGUCUGUUUCUCAGCUUUUAGAGCAUCGUAAAUAUUUAUUAUUUUCACCGACAAGUUUUGUGUCACACAGGGUCGCACUUUGAGGAACCUGAUUGGAGCGGGGACGCGGUUUAAUGGAGUCUAUAUUUUCACACAUGUCCGUGCUCAUGGUUUGCAAGCAAAUAUUGUUCAGGCUCCGGAUUUGGGUAUGCUAUGGCAUCGUCAUUUAGGUUACUCCUCUAUAUGCAAGUUAUUUCCAUUUUUCCAGGUGUAGCUAGUACUAAAAAUUUUAAUAAGGGUUGUUCUCUUGAUUGCCACAUUUGUUUUAAGGGUAAAUUACCUAGAAACAGUUUUCCGUUCAUUAAUCAUAAAGCUACAGAGAUUUUUGAUUUAAUUCAUUGUGAUAUCUGGGGCCAUAAUCAUAUUGUGUCUACUAGCAACGCAUGUUAUUUUCUUACUAUUGUUGAUAAUUAUUGACGUGCUACCUGGGUUUAUUUCAUGAUUGGCAAAUAUGAGGCAAAACAAUUGUUGCAAGAAUUUUAUGCUAUGGUCAAAACCCAGUUUAAUAAGAAGAUUAAGGUGCUUCUGAGUGAUAAUGGACAGGAUGUUUUAUGUCUUGCAUCUUUCUUUCGCCAAAAAGGCAUCAUUUAUCAGACAUCUUGUGUUGAUACUAUCCAACAGAAUGGUAGGGUGGAGCGUAAACAUUGUCGUAUCCUUAAUGUAGCUCGGACUCUUAGGUUUCAGCUAAAUUACCUAAAUCUUAUAAAUAUUACCCCUACUCCUAGUUUGAAAGGUUAAACACCUUAUGAAUGUUUGUUUGGUGUUUCACCUUCUUAUGAUUCAUUCGUGCAUUUGGUUGUCUAUGCUAUGUUGUUAAUCGUUCUCGUAUACAAGAUAAGUUCGAUUCUAGAUCUCAUCGUUUCUUAUUUCUUGGGUAUCUAAUAAGAAGGGUGGCGGCUUUAUGACCUUGAGACGUAUGAUUUUUUGUGAGAAUGGAUGUUAUAUUUUUUGAGGAUCAAUUCCCCUAUCCUACUGUUCUUUCUAAUGUGGCGCAAAAGCAGUGGGAUUUAUAUUUUUCCCGACCAUCCCUUUCGGCGGAUGAUUUGAUUAAUGAUAGUGGUUAUGGCAUUGAUGUUGGUGCGCCUAUUGGUGAUGUUGGUGCGUCUAGUGUUAUUGAUGGUGCUGGCAUGCGUAUGAAUGGUGGGUCACCACGCCUCCACGCUCCAUUCGUAGCAUAGUUAGUGAUGCUUCUGUGACUCAUGUGCGUAUUGGUGAGGUUAUGUGUGACACCUCCAUGCCUCUUUAUUUGAGGGGGAUUUGGUCAUUGUCUGGUGAACUAUUAGGGCAUGGGCAUCGUACUAAAGUUCAAUCUUGCAAGGUUCGUGAUUUUGUGACUCAUACUGUGGUGUGUGAAAAUAUUGACUCCCAACAUUCUACUACGUCUCCUUCUCCGUUCUUCAGGUACGUCCUUUGAUAUUGCUUGUCAUGUUGAUUAUAAUAAUUUUUAGUAAAUCAUAGAGGUUUUCUGGCAGCUAUUACUAAAGCAUAGGAGCCUCAAAGUUUUCAGGAGGUUGCGAAACAUCCUGGUUGGUGCAAGGCUAUGGAGGAGGAGCUUACGGCUCUUGAGUGCAAUGGUACUUGGAGUUUGGAGGAUCUACCUUCAGGUAAGAAAGCUAUUAGUAGUGGUUGGGUGUAUCGUAUUAAAUACACUUCAACUGGUGAGGUUGAACGCUUGAAAGGUAGACUAGUUUUUCAUGGUAAUCGUCAGAUUGAAGGUGUUGAUUAUAAUGAAACGUUUGCUCAUGUUGCGAAACUGGGCAUUGUACUUUUAUUUUUAGUUGUUGAUGUAUCUCUUAAUUGGGAAUUGUGUCUGAUGGAUGUUCAUAAUGCUUUAUUACAUGGUGGUUUGCAUGAAGAAGUUUAUAUGAAACUUCCUCUUGGGUAUCGUGGUGCUCCUCCAAGGAAGGUUUGCCGUUUGAGAAAGUCAUUGUAUGGAUUGAAAUAGGCACCUCGAUAGUGGUUUGCAAAGUUGUGUCAAGCAUUGAAGUCCUAUGCUUUUAACCAGUCUAAUGCAGAUUGUUCUUUGUUCAGUUACAUUUAGGGACAUGUUGCUUUUCAUGUUCUUGUUUAUGUUGAUGAUUUGAUUAUUGCAGGCUCAUCUCAUGAUGUCAUUGUUCACUUUACAAACCAUUUGAGUUCAUGUUUUCAUAUGAAGGAUUUGGGUGUAUUGAAAUAUUUCUUAGGCAUUGAGGUUGCUAGGAGCAAGGAUGCUAUUUUUUUGUCACGACGCAAAUAUGCGUUCGAUGUAUUAAACAGAAGCUGCCAUGUUAGGUUGUAAACCCAUUGGCACACCUAUGGAGCAGAAUGGUCGUCUCACUUCUGUCGAAGGGAAGCCAUAUGCGCAACCUAACAGAUAUAGGCACCUAGUUGGUCGUUUGGUCUAUCUGUCUGUUACUCGUCCUGAGUUAAGUUAUGUUAUGCAUACUCUAUCUCAUUUUUUUAUUGCACCACAGGUUUUGUAACAGCCCGUAUUUUUGAGCUUGUUUUAAAUUAAGUAAUUGUGUUUAUUAAUUUAACUAAACUUUAUAUCAAACAGAGAUUACUAAGAAUUUUUAUUUGAAAUCCAAUUAUGAUGGUGUGGAUUUUAUCAAAUAUUUUUGUAUUUAGUAAAUGAUUUUAAGUUUUAAAAGAAAAAUAAAAAGAAAACCCAUUUGUUAUUUCGUGGCUUAAUAAGGAGUAGCCACAAAUUAUAUUUGCUGUCAACUUCUCAUACCUUCUUUGACAAAUAAAAACCCUAGCUUCCUUCUUCACUCAAAAACCCCAAAAAAAAACCCCAAUUCUCUCUCUUUCUCUCGCGGGUUCUGCCCGAUACCCCACCGAGGAAUGACUGCCGGACUUAUUGCCGUCUUCGUCACGCUGCUGCUGUUGUUCUAGCGGUGCUGCCGCAGUUGUUGUUGUUGGUUGUUCUUAAUUUCGUUUUCUCUCUCCUCUGUAUUGUGCUGCUACCAUUUUCCGGUCCUCUUCGCCGGCGAGCUGCCACCAUCGCUGUUGUACGUUGUUAUGGUUGUUGAGUUCUUCAAAUUCUUAUCUCUUUAACAAGGUAUAAAUUUUGGGUUAAAUUGUGAAUCUUAUUUCAUAAGUUCAAUCUAAUUUAUAUGUUAAUAAUGGUUCUGAUUUUUAUAAGUAUAGUUGAAUUUGUUAUUGAUUUGAAAAAAAAAAAUCAGAUUAUGAGAUUUUGAAUUGGUAUUAUUUGAGUUGUUGAGAUUAAAGAUUGAAUUUUUUGCUCAAUUAUGAGAUUGAACUUAUAUUUUUUUUCGAAUUAUAUAAUCUGAAUUUUACUUCUUAUUUCAAGUUAAAGCAUGAAAUCAUUUUGAUAAUUUUGUUUCCAGUAGCUAAAUAAGUUCAAAAUUGGUCUUGUUUUGUAAAUCCCUAUGUUAAUCUAGAGUGUGGGAUAGAUAAUUGAGCUUGCAAAUUAUAUCAGCUUGUGAAGAGGAAUGACGUUAAUUAUAGUUAGUAAUUAAGAUUGAUGAUUUGAGUUGGAUGAGAGUAAGAGUUUGUAUAUAAGAAUCAUAGUUUGUUCAUAAAAGAGUUAGAAAUAUAUCAGCAAGUUCAGAUUGUCAAUAUGAGUUGUUCUAAAGAUGGAUGUUAAUUUUCAUUGUUUUUAUGAGGUGAAUGAUUGUGGAGCUCGAGUAUAUAUUGGAUAAUGAGGAUAUUAGACUCUUGAAGAAUAUUUCGGAGUCUAGUGCUAUUUGAAGAUGCAUAGAGAGUUCAUUAUUAGUGAUCUUGCAGGUUCGUAUGUGGAAAGCUCGGAAUGGAGUAAAAGGAAGAAUUUAGGUAUCAAGGUUAUAAUCAGAUGUAAUGGUUCAGAGGUUGUAUUUAGGAUUAUAUAUCCUUAUUUGUGAAUGAAUUAUUAUAUUGCUUUAAGAGUUGAGCAAGGUAUUAUGUAAUAUGUUAUUUGGUUA
Molecule: long non-coding RNA, 5288 nt
Organism: Beta vulgaris subsp. vulgaris (sugar beet)
Lineage: Eukaryota; Viridiplantae; Streptophyta; Magnoliopsida; Caryophyllales; Amaranthaceae
Exons: 2
Source: RefSeq, a predicted model, not a curated record